This 2540-nucleotide small RNA is filed under the name Histoplasma capsulatum. RNAcentral describes it as "hypothetical RNA". RNAcentral also lists the same sequence under 1 other name. Lineage: Eukaryota; Fungi; Ascomycota; Eurotiomycetes; Onygenales; Ajellomycetaceae. The record is from RNAcentral.
GCCAUAAUGAAAAACACUGAACGAAAUUCAGGCCGCAAAACAAUAUAAACAGGAAAGGAAAUUUGCCUCAUCUACUGCCCACCAACACCACCAGGAAAACGCCGGAAAUCAAGGGCAAAAAGCUAUACUUACCUGCACCAAUAUCUUCAAAGAAGCCAACGAACCAAAUCAAUCCAGACUUUUAGACCCUACAAAAGAGUUCCAACUUGAAAUUUCCUAGAUUUACGGAGUACUGAUACCUAUGCCAAAGUUAUCUUGGGGUUGACUGGUGCAGGUUGUCGUCGUGUGGCUCAAAGUUGUCGUCCAUAUAUACAUGAGGUUUAAUGAAAAAGGAUGCCAUCGCUAUUAAAAAUAAUGUAGCGACUUGGCACAUAAAUACAGCUUGUGGUAGCGUACCGACGGUUGAGCUGUAUAUCAAGUUGAAAAUUGUCGGCGCCACCACGCGCGCAAGUGCAUGAAGCAGACCAAGCGCACCUAGCAGCUGGCCGGUCCUAUUAGCGGGGAUAUGCUUCGUCAACGAGGACGUGAGCGUUGGCGAAGCCAUUGCACUCAUCGAUGCGAACGCGCCGGAGAGGAGCAGCAGCCCACCAGUCCGAACAGUGCAGUACCCGAGAUAUCCGAUCAGAUCGAUCAUCGUAGAUAUCCUGAUUAUGAUUAUAUCCAGCAUAUCGGAGCCAGUGUUGACCCGACUCCUUUGGCUAAGCGGGCCACGGACCAGACGAGUUAUUGUUGGAAGAGCCACAAGUAGCAUAACCACUCGGACAGAGCUGGCUACGGACACAAAUAUGCUAGACUCAAAAUUGCCCCAGUCGAACAUGUACUCGGAAUAAAUCACAAUGAUCGACAUAGUCCCCAUCCCGACGCCGAAGAGAACAGCGUCCAUGGAUGCAAGGAUUAUGAGAUUAAUUCGUAAUUCGCGAAGGGAGCGUCUGCCGAGUGAGCUCGUGGAGCUUGGGAACAGGAUAGAGAGGGGCUUCAAGAGAUUCAACGGAUUAAAAUCCCCUCGCGACCAGGAAGGAACUUGACGGAACUUGAGAGGGCCUAUCCCUUGACUCUUGCGAUUAGCCAAUUGGCGAGCUUCCGACAGUGACUCUGGCACAGCGAAAAGCAUAAAUAGGAUGAAGAAUAGCAGGCAACCUAAGACGGAAUAGAAUAGGUAAAGGAUAUUGCCCGUCCACUUGAUGAGAUAUCCAGCAAGCAAGGGACCCAGAGCAAUGCCACCAAAUAAAACGCCAUAGAAAUAUCCGAAUGCUACGUUUCUGUUAUGUGGCGGUACGCAAUCUGCCGCGUAUGACUGAGUAAGAGCUACCGCUGUCGUGAAGGAUCCAAACAAUCCAUCAAACAUCGCUGCUAGGAGCAAAAUAUUGACCGAUAUCCUACCAUCUUGAGCCGCCACCAUCGCCAUGACAAGUUGGCCGAGAAACAUGCCAAAUCCCGAGAGGGCAAUGAUCUUAGUUCUGCCAUAACCAUCGGUUAGAGUCCCAAGUCUCGGGCUUGUGAUGGCUGCGAGGAUACCAGAUAUUAAGUUCAGUUGCAGUUGAAGUCUCGAGGCUCGGGAUUGGAUCUCGGGAAUCCGACAUUGCGGGUUCGUAUCUCCAAAGAUGACGGGAGCAAAAGUAAAGGUAGGAUCUUCUAUCGCCCUGUCGGAUAGAUAUUGGCGGCAAAUCAAUGUCAAGGCGAGAUUUAUCUGCGGCACGACGACUCCCCCGAAUGCAAUCGUGAAUGGGAAAAGUGGAGGUAGUACCCAGAAUAUCUACCCGAAAUCCAGAUGAAUAUAAAAAUAAUUAAUAGAUUAGUAUAGAAGGCAACGGGAGAAGGUGCUGUACUGGGCCGUAAGUACCGGUAACCUCCACUGCUCUUCUGCCACCCAAAGGAACCAUGAUUGUGGUGGGGGUUUUCCAAUACUUAUGGCCUGGCACUGUAUAUAAAAACGCCAAAAGGGAUAUGCUCACAGAAGGACGUUUCCACCACGGUUUGCGGUCAUUUUCCUCCUCCAACAGUGCAUCCUGAGUUCCGUCCUGAUUGCUUGAAUUGCCGCUCUCGACCAAUUGCGAUGUUGGGAUAUCAUUGUCCACGAGCAGUCUGGUGGUUUCUGUUGGCACAGCAGGGCUCGCGGUCCGUGACCUAGACAUAGAGUGGGGCCUCGCAGAACAAAGCGAGGAAGCGGAAGAAGCUACCCAUUGGACUGGCUCAUCUCCUUCUACUGCAAACGUAGUCUCCGCUUCCAUUGGCGUGGAAGGAACCGAUUCGGGUCAGGGAUAACGGAGCAGGACUGAGGAGGGUCUCGGCGCAUCAAGCUCAGUGAUAGGUCGAGGAUAAUAAUUCCUUAGCAGGAAAAUCCACAGCACCAAUCUUCUCACAACAAUCCCAGGGGAAUAUAUAUAGAUAUAUGCAUGUAUGUAUAUGUAUGGAGAGCUUGUGAUUGUUUUCCGGUGGAUAUAGGCUCCGUCAGAGUGCCAUGUUUAUUGAAUGAACUAUGAGGAAUGCCAGGUCAUGAUACUUGUAGGAAUACCGAGCUGGCGGACUCUCCAAGAAACCCC